RNAcentral lists this ribosomal RNA (250 nucleotides) under uncultured bacterium. RNAcentral's name for it is "partial 16S ribosomal RNA". It matches the Rfam family "Bacterial small subunit ribosomal RNA", at positions 524 to 773 of the family's 1533-position model. The record is from RNAcentral.
UACGUAGGGUGCGAGCGUUGUCCGGAAUUAUUGGGCGUAAAGGGCUCGUAGGCGGUUUGUCGCGUCGGGAGUGAAAACACCGGGCUUAACUCGGUGCUUGCUUUCGAUACGGGCAGACUAGAGGCAUGCAGGGGAGAACGGAAUUCCUGGUGUAGCGGUGAAAUGCGCAGAUAUCAGGAGGAACACCGGUGGCGAAGGCGGUUCUCUGGGCAUGUCCUGACGCUGAGGAGCGAAAGUGUGGGGAGCGAAC